This 476-nucleotide ribosomal RNA is filed under the name Clostridioides difficile. RNAcentral describes it as "bacterial LSU rRNA". It matches the Rfam family "Bacterial large subunit ribosomal RNA", at positions 534 to 1010 of the family's 2925-position model. The record is from RNAcentral. Lineage: Bacteria; Bacillati; Bacillota; Clostridia; Peptostreptococcales; Peptostreptococcaceae.
GGGAGUGAAAUAGAACCUGAAACCCUGCACUUACAAGCUGUGGAAGCACAUUUCUUGUGUGACCGCGUACUUUUUGUAGAACGGGCCAAGGAGUUACGUUAAGUAGCAAGGUUAAUCAAUUAAGGUGCGGGGCCGAAGCGAAAGCGAGUUUUAACUGAGCGUUCAGUUACUUGACGUAGACCCGAAACCGGGCGAACUACCCAGGAGCAGGAUGAAGCGAAAGUAAAAUUUCGUGGAGGUCCGAACCCACGAGCGUUGAAAAGCUCGGGGAUGACUUGUGGGUAGCGGUGAAAUUCCAAUCGAGCCCGGAGAUAGCUGGUUCUCCCCGAAAUAGCUUUAGGGCUAGCCUCAAGGUGAGAGAUACGGAGGUAGAGCACUGAAUGUCCUAGGGGGUAUUGCACCUACCGAAGACUAUCAAACUCCGAAUGCCGUCAUCUUAUACUUGGGAGUCAGACUGUGGGUGAUAAGAUUCAUAG